Molecule: long non-coding RNA, 482 nt
Organism: Lynx canadensis (Canada lynx)
Lineage: Eukaryota; Metazoa; Chordata; Mammalia; Carnivora; Felidae
Exons: 3
Source: RefSeq, a predicted model, not a curated record
CUCCGCGCCCUCCUCGCCUUCCUCCUUUCACACCGACAGGCUCAGUGGGAGUCAGACAGGUGCUCUGUGAAAGAGAGGGAUUCGAGGUGUGAGGCCUCAGCUCUAGAACAGCGCCGGCCCUCAGAAGCAGGACGCGCUCACCGGCCCCAGAUGUGGAGCAUCAUCGCCCUGGUCCCACAGAGCCGGGCCUACCGAGAAGACACGGACGAGGCUCUGGGGGCAGCUGGGCCCCACGUGACCGUGAUCAAGUCACCCUACUUGCCGGACCUGUUACCUCAUCUGAAGGAGAGGGGAGUCCUCGCACUCUUCACCAGCACCCUUCCAGCGGGGAUGGGGUUCUCGCCUCUGUCCUCCGCCAUCCUCGGGGCCAUCCUAUCGACCCUUCGCCCCUCCAAAGCUCCACAAACAUCCCCUCGACACAUAAAUCAAAAUGAAAAGCUACAAAGGACGCUGCUUAUAACAAGGUUUUAAUAAAAUAAAAA